UUACACGCGCAUAAGUUUCUU
Caenorhabditis elegans is the source of this 21-nucleotide non-coding RNA. The record is from Ensembl. Lineage: Eukaryota; Metazoa; Nematoda; Chromadorea; Rhabditida; Rhabditidae.